UAGGGAAUAUUGCACAAUGGGCGAAAGCCUGAUGCAGCAACGCCGCGUGCGCGAUGACGGCCUUCGGGUUGUAAAGCGCUUUUCGGGGAGAUGAGGAAGGACAGUAUCCCCGGAAUAAGGCUCGGCUAACUACGUGCCAGCAGCCGCGGUAACACGUAGGAGCCAAGCGCUAUCCGAAUUCACUGGGCGUAAAGCGCGUGUAGGCGGCUUGGUAAGUUGGAUGUGAAAGCUCCUGGCUCAACUGGGAGAGGACGUGCAAUACUGCCGGGCUAGAGCGCGACAGAGGGAGGUGGAAUUCCCGGUGUAGUGGUGAAAUGCGUAGAUAUCGGGAGGAACACCAGUGGCGAAAGCGGCCUCCUGGGUCGCACCUGACGCUCAGACGCGAAAGCUAGGGGAGCGAACGG
RNAcentral lists this ribosomal RNA (404 nucleotides) under uncultured bacterium. Its description in RNAcentral is "bacterial SSU rRNA". It matches the Rfam family "Bacterial small subunit ribosomal RNA", at positions 355 to 775 of the family's 1533-position model. The record is from RNAcentral.